GUGCAGCAGUCGAGAAUUUUGACAAUGGGGGAAACCCUGAUCGAGCGACGCCGCGUGGAGGAUGAAGGUCUUCGGAUUGUAAACUCCUGUCAUUGGGGAACAAGGUGCAUACGUUAACUGCGUGUGUAUUGAUAGUACCCGAAGAGGAAGGGACGGCUAACUCUGUGCCAGCAGCCGCGGUAAUACAGAGGUCCCAAGCGUUGUUCGGAUUCAUUGGGCGUAAAGGGUGCGUAGGCGGCGCGGUAAGUCGGGUGUGAAAUCUCGGAGCUUAACUCCGAAACUGCAUUCGAUACUGCCGUGCUUGAGGACUGGAGAGGAGACUGGAAUUUACGGUGUAGCGGUGAAAUGCGUAGAUAUCGUAAGGAAGACCAGUGGCGAAGGCGGGUCUCUGGACAGUUCCUGACGCUGAGGCACGAGGGCCAGGGGAGCAAACGGGAUUAGAUACCCGCGUAGU
RNAcentral lists this ribosomal RNA (454 nucleotides) under uncultured organism. RNAcentral's name for it is "bacterial SSU rRNA". It matches the Rfam family "Bacterial small subunit ribosomal RNA", at positions 346 to 794 of the family's 1533-position model. The record is from RNAcentral.